UUGGAGGGCAAGUCUGGUGCCAGCAGCCGCGGUAAUUCCAGCUCCAAUAGCGUGUAUUAAAGUUGUUGCAGUUAAAAAGCUCGUAGUUGAAUUUCGAGACCGGCUUAUUGGUCGUGCUUUUGUACGUACUGGUAUAAUCGGUUUCUCCUUUCUGACGAACUAUAAUGCCAUUAAUUUGGUGUUAUAGGGAAUCAGGACUGUACUUACUUAAGUAAAA
RNAcentral lists this ribosomal RNA (217 nucleotides) under uncultured Glomus. RNAcentral describes it as "partial 18S ribosomal RNA". It matches the Rfam family "Eukaryotic small subunit ribosomal RNA", at positions 548 to 765 of the family's 1831-position model. The record is from RNAcentral. Lineage: Eukaryota; Fungi; Glomeromycota; Glomeromycetes; Glomerales; Glomeraceae.